UCUUUAGUUUCUUGGUUAGCCACUUGGCCUGUUUUCUCUUUGCUCCCCUUUUCUCUUUUGUUUGCACUUUUUUUGUCUGAAGAUGUGUCCUUUCCUGCUGCCUUUUUGGCUUCGUUUCCACUUUUGCAGGAGCGGAUUUAGCUGAAAACCGCACCGGUCCCCUCUUGGGCUCUUCCUUGGCUGCCCCUUCGGUGCAACUGCCCUUCCAUAGUUUCCAUCUGAAGAGUUAGCUCUCCCUUCUGGUGCAGAACAGGGAAGCCUAAUCUGUCUUCCAUGAGAUUCAAGAGGCUGCUCCUCCUGGGGCCUCUGUGGGUAUCCUCCGUGUUGCUCCUAAGCUCUUAUUCCUCAGGUAAAAUGGUGCUGAGUCUACUCAUCAUCGGACUGUGGCGCCUAGUAUUGGACACCACAUCCCUGAUGUACCCUGACACCUCAUUUCUCUCCCACAUAGAACCUAGUGGGCACUGUGCCCCCGCAUCUAUUUGAAGAACUGCUCAAGAGGCUUUGUGGGAGGUCUGGCUCUUCCUCACCCCCGCCGGACUUGACGUGCCUGCCCCCACCACCCGGCAUACUUCCCAGCAUACUUCCGGUCAGGCAGCAAUCAGCUCGCUCCUCACGGGGAUCAGCUGUGGUGACUGAGACUGGCUUGCUCUUGCAGCCCCAGGAACACAGAGGUUCAUGCUGAAGAACCAAAUGGUUCCUACAGUACAAGCAAGUGCCAGGCACUCCGCAGGAGGCAUCACUGGCACCUCCUAAUUGAUGAGCAGUCCAGCUCUGAAGCUGCGAGCUCUAAAGCCGGAUACCUCCUCCAGGUGACUCUUUCUGAUCUUCCUCUCCCAGCUGAAUAGAGUGAACUUCAGUGUUUCUGGCCUCCAGUUCCUGAACUCUGCUUCUUCUAAGGCAGGAAGUUCCUGAACACUCCCAGGAAGCCUGUCCUUGCAAGAUAUCGCCCUUCAUUCCUUGACUUCGAUGCUCCACUGGGAUUCUGAAAAGCUUCAAUUCACUGAUACACAUCGGCGGGAGCUGCUGAGCCAUUUAAGCUUUGACUAUCUCUACUUGAAAGGCAUGAGAUAAAGUUUUCCACUGCUGGAGAGGAGAGCAUGUCUUGAUCCAAUAUGACUGGCGUCCUUAUAAGAAGAAGAGACAUGCAUAGAAAGAAGACAAUGUGAGGAGACACAGGGAGAAGAGGCCAUGCACAAGCCAAGGAGAAGACCCGGAACAGAUCCAUGCCAUCCUUCCUUCACAGCCCUCAGGAGGAGCUACCCCUGCCGACACCUUGAUCUUGGCCUCCCAGCCUCCACAGCAGUGAACCAAUACCUUUCUGUUGUUGAAGCUCCCCAGUCUGUAGCACUUUGUAACAGCGGCCCUAGCAAACUAAUAUACCUCCCCCAAAACUUCCUCAAAAUAGGGGAGAAGAUAUGGGGUGCUAACACCAUGGCACCAGGUGUGUGUGGCAGCCUGGACACUGGGCUUCUGACACUCGGCCUCUGGAUUCACCAAAGGAGGAAGCUUCAAGGCUGGUGCCUGAGCUAGUCAUUUAAAAUUUUUGAUGAGACCCACUGAAGAUUUCAGGUAAGAAGGGAUCUGAUCAUAUUUGUGUUUCAGAAAGACCCUUGUAACUAUCACAGUGUGGAGGACAGAUGAAUUGGGGAGGCUG
Molecule: non-coding RNA, 1654 nt
Organism: Chlorocebus sabaeus (green monkey)
Lineage: Eukaryota; Metazoa; Chordata; Mammalia; Primates; Cercopithecidae
Source: RefSeq, a predicted model, not a curated record